Molecule: ribosomal RNA, 253 nt
Filed under: uncultured bacterium
Lineage: Bacteria
Description: partial 16S ribosomal RNA
Rfam family: Bacterial small subunit ribosomal RNA
Source: RNAcentral
UACGUAGGGAGCAAGCGUUGUCCGGAAUCAUUGGGCGUAAAGCGCGCGUAGGUGGCCUCAUAAGUCCGCUGUGAAAGUCCAAGGCUCAACCUUGGAAAGCCGGUGGAUACUGUGAGGCUAGAGUACGGAAGAGGCGAGUGGAAUUCCUGGUGUAGCGGUGGAAUGCGCAGAUAUCAGGAGGAACACCAAUAGCGAAGGCAGCUCGCUGGGACGUUACUGACACUCAGGGACGAAAGCUAGGGGAGCGAAUGGG